Molecule: ribosomal RNA, 704 nt
Filed under: uncultured bacterium
Lineage: Bacteria
Description: bacterial SSU rRNA
Rfam family: Bacterial small subunit ribosomal RNA
Source: RNAcentral
GUCGAGCGGAACUUAAGGAGCUUGCUCCUUAAGUUUAGCGGCGGACGGGUGAGUAACACGUGGGCAACCUGCCCUACAGAUGGGGAUAACUCCGGGAAACCGGGGCUAAUACCGAAUAAUCAGUUUGUCCGCAUGGACAAACUCUGAAAGACGGUUUCGGCUGUCACUGUAGGAUGGGCCCGCGGCGCAUUAGCUAGUUGGUGGGGUAAUGGCCUACCAAGGCGACGAUGCGUAGCCGACCUGAGAGGGUGAUCGGCCACACUGGGACUGAGACACGGCCCAGACUCCUACGGGAGGCAGCAGUAGGGAAUCUUCCACAAUGGACGAAAGUCUGAUGGAGCAACGCCGCGUGAGCGAAGAAGGUUUUCGGAUCGUAAAGCUCUGUUGUGAGGGAAGAACAAGUACGAGAGUAACUGCUCGUACCUUGACGGUACCUCAUUAGAAAGCCACGGCUAACUACGUGCCAGCAGCCGCGGUAAUACGUAGGUGGCAAGCGUUGUCCGGAAUUAUUGGGCGUAAAGCGCGCGCAGGCGGUCCUUUAAGUCUGAUGUGAAAGCCCACGGCUCAACCGUGGAGGGUCAUUGGAAACUGGGGACUUGAGUACAGAAGAGGAAAGCGGAAUUCCACGUGUAGCGGUGAAAUGCGUAGAGAUGUGGAGGAACACCAGUGGCGAAGGCGGCUUUCUGGUCUGUAACUGACGCUGA